GGGGUGUAUAGCUCAAUGGUAGAGCAUUCGACUGCUAAUCGAGGAGUCCCGAUUCAAACCAGGGUGCCCUCU
Trichonephila clavipes is the source of this 72-nucleotide non-coding RNA. The record is from the annotation of a GenBank genome assembly. NCBI's taxonomy places the organism in Eukaryota, Metazoa, Arthropoda, Arachnida, Araneae, Nephilidae.